GGAGGUACAGCCCAGUGGUGGAGCAUGCGCUUAGCAUGCACAAGGUCCUGGGUUCAAGCCCCAGUGCCGCUA
Molecule: transfer RNA, 72 nt
Filed under: Camelus bactrianus (Bactrian camel)
Lineage: Eukaryota; Metazoa; Chordata; Mammalia; Artiodactyla; Camelidae
Also listed under: 2 other names
Rfam family: tRNA
About the family: Transfer RNA (tRNA) molecules are approximately 80 nucleotides in length. Their secondary structure includes four short double-helical elements and three loops (D, anti-codon, and T loops). Further hydrogen bonds mediate the characteristic L-shaped molecular structure. tRNAs have two regions of fundamental functional importance: the anti-codon, which is responsible for specific mRNA codon recognition, and the 3' end, to which the tRNAs corresponding amino acid is attached (by aminoacyl-tRNA synthetases). tRNAs cope with the degeneracy of the genetic code in two manners: having more than one tRNA (with a specific anti-codon) for a particular amino acid; and 'wobble' base-pairing, i.e. permitting non-standard base-pairing at the 3rd anti-codon position.
Source: Rfam by way of RNAcentral